RNAcentral lists this ribosomal RNA (402 nucleotides) under uncultured Azospirillum sp. RNAcentral's name for it is "bacterial SSU rRNA". It matches the Rfam family "Bacterial small subunit ribosomal RNA", at positions 355 to 774 of the family's 1533-position model. Lineage: Bacteria; Pseudomonadati; Pseudomonadota; Alphaproteobacteria; Rhodospirillales; Azospirillaceae. The record is from RNAcentral.
UGGGGAAUAUUGGACAAUGGGGGCAACCCUGAUCCAGCAAUGCCGCGUGAGUGAUGAAGGCCUUCGGGUUGUAAAGCUCUUUCGCACGCGACGAUGAUGACGGUAGCGUGAGAAGAAGCCCCGGCUAACUUCGUGCCAGCAGCCGCGGUAAUACGAAGGGGGCUAGCGUUGUUCGGAAUUACUGGGCGUAAAGGGCGCGUAGGCGGCGCGAUCAGUCAGAUGUGAAAGCCCCGGGCUCAACCUGGGAACCGCAUUUGAUACUGUCGGGCUUGAGUUCCGGAGAGGAUGGUGGAAUUCCCAGUGUAGAGGUGAAAUUCGUAGAUAUUGGGAAGAACACCGGUGGCGAAGGCGGCCAUCUGGACGGACACUGACGCUGAGGCGCGAAAGCGUGGGGAGCAAACA